GACGCGGCCGAGACUCCCUUCUUCCCUAGCGUCGACAGCCGGCCGAAGCUUCCAUUCCUCCUCGUGCCUCUGAUCUAUUGCGAUUGCUUCCCUGAUUCUUCCCUAGAGCCAGCAGCCAAGAUCCCUCCAGACGAUCGCGUCUGAGGAUAGGGUUUCCUUCAUCCCGGUGGUAGGACAUCGUGAUGUUGUCGAUCACCAUGAUGCUAGAUCUUAGUUGUUGAUGGCAGAUUAGGCGGCUAGCAACACCUCUCCAUUGAUCACAGCGGUGCUCUACUACUUGCUGCCACCAUAGAGCUGCUUACCUUGAAUUGCAGUAGCCGGCAGCCUUCAUUCCAGUAGAAAACAAGCCUUCACCAGCAGCAAGAACGGCUGUGAAUUGAGGACUCUAAUUCGAGAUGAGCAUCUUGACGUCAAAUUUGGAUCGGAUUGGACCAUUUCUUAUUAGAGGCGGGUACUUUGACUUAUGUAUUUUGAUAUGCAUAAUAAUGUGUUUAACAUAUAGCAUGAUUGUGUUUUCCAUUUGUU
Molecule: long non-coding RNA, 525 nt
Organism: Zingiber officinale
Lineage: Eukaryota; Viridiplantae; Streptophyta; Magnoliopsida; Zingiberales; Zingiberaceae
Exons: 4
Source: RefSeq, a predicted model, not a curated record